GCCUUCGUGGUGUAACGGUAGCACACUCGACGCGUAUUCGAGAGGUACAGGUUCGAGUCCCAGCGAGGGCA
This 71-nucleotide transfer RNA is filed under the name Stegodyphus mimosarum. It matches the Rfam family "tRNA". From Rfam's summary of the family: Transfer RNA (tRNA) molecules are approximately 80 nucleotides in length. Their secondary structure includes four short double-helical elements and three loops (D, anti-codon, and T loops). Lineage: Eukaryota; Metazoa; Arthropoda; Arachnida; Araneae; Eresidae. The record is from Rfam by way of RNAcentral.